UUACGGGAGGCAGCAGUGGGGAAUAUUGCACAAUGGGCGCAAGCCUGAUGCAGCGACGCCGCGUGCGGGAUGGAGGCCUUCGGGUUGUAAACCGCUUUUGUUCAAGGGCAAGGCAGGCCGUUGGGUCUGUUGAGUGGAUUGUUCGAAUAAGCACCGGCUAACUACGUGCCAGCAGCCGCGGUAAUACGUAGGGUGCAAGCGUUAUCCGGAAUUAUUGGGCGUAAAGGGCUCGUAGGCGGUUCGUCGCGUCCGGUGUGAAAGUCCAUCGCUUAACGGUGGAUCUGCGCCGGGUACGGGCGGGCUGGAGUGCGGUAGGGGAGACUGGAAUUCCCGGUGUAACGGUGGAAUGUGUAGAUAUCGGGAAGAACACCAAUGGCGAAGGCAGGUCUCUGGGCCGUUACUGACGCUGAGGAGCGAAAGCGUGGGGAGCGAACAGGAUUAGAUACCCCGGUAGA
This 455-nucleotide ribosomal RNA is filed under the name uncultured bacterium. Its description in RNAcentral is "bacterial SSU rRNA". It matches the Rfam family "Bacterial small subunit ribosomal RNA", at positions 339 to 794 of the family's 1533-position model. The record is from RNAcentral.